RNAcentral lists this ribosomal RNA (328 nucleotides) under uncultured eukaryote. RNAcentral describes it as "partial 18S ribosomal RNA". It matches the Rfam family "Eukaryotic small subunit ribosomal RNA", at positions 1470 to 1796 of the family's 1831-position model. The record is from RNAcentral.
CCCUUAGAUGUCCGGGGCUGCACGCGCGCUACACUGAAGGAAUCAGCGUGCUAAAACCAUUGUCGAAAGGCAUUGGUAAACCCAUUAAAAUCCUACGUGAUUGGGAUCGGGAAUUGCAAUUAUUUCCCUUGAACGAGGAAUUCCCAGUAAGUGUGGGUCAUAAGCUCGCGUUGAUUACGUCCCUGCCCUUUGUACACACCGUCCGUCGCUGCCCGGGACUGAGCCGUUUCGAGAAAAGCGGGGACUGCUGCUGUCGGGGCUUUCGGGCCUUGGCUUCGGUGGAAACCGCUUUAAUCGCAGUGGCUUGAACCGGGCAAAAGUCGUANCA